CAUGUCCUUUUGAUUUUAAUUUAAGGUCUAAUCUGCUCAAUGAUGUUUUAAAUAGCCGCGGUAUCUUGACCGUGCGAAGGUAGCAUAAUAAUUAGUCUUUUUAUUGGAGGCUAGAAUGAAGGAUUGGACGGGGGAUUGGCUGUCUCUUUGGAAUUUAUUUUGAAUUUAACUUUUAAGUUAAAAGGCUUAAAUAUUAUUUAAAGACGAGAAGACCCUAUAGAGUUUAACAAAUUUGUUUAUUAAGGAUUGUUUAGUAUUGGUUUACUUUUAUGAUUAGUUUGUUUAAUUGGGGUGAUUGGAGGAUUUAAUUAACUCUUCUAUUUUUUAUUACUGAUUUGUAAAUUUUAUUUCUAUAGUUUAUAAGUAUAAAUAAAAUUACCUUAGGGAUAACAGCGUUAUUUCUCUUUAGAGUUCUUAUUGGAAGAGAAGUUUGCGACCUCGAUGUUGGAUUAAAAUUUAAGUUGGGCGCAGUAGCUCAUGCUUCCGAGUCUGUUCGACUCUUACAAUUUUACAUGAUCUGAGU
RNAcentral lists this ribosomal RNA (523 nucleotides) under Austroselasia sp. A RK-2020. RNAcentral's name for it is "partial large subunit ribosomal RNA". It matches the Rfam family "Bacterial large subunit ribosomal RNA", at positions 1816 to 2610 of the family's 2925-position model. Lineage: Eukaryota; Metazoa; Arthropoda; Insecta; Coleoptera; Elateridae. The record is from RNAcentral.